Molecule: transfer RNA, 82 nt
Filed under: Planctomycetota bacterium
Lineage: Bacteria; Pseudomonadati; Planctomycetota
Description: tRNA-Leu
Rfam family: tRNA
About the family: Transfer RNA (tRNA) molecules are approximately 80 nucleotides in length. Their secondary structure includes four short double-helical elements and three loops (D, anti-codon, and T loops).
Source: RNAcentral
GCGAGGGUGGCGGAAUUGGCAGACGCGCCAGGUUUAGGUCCUGGUCCCGAAAGGGGUAUGGGUUCGAGUCCCGUCCCUCGCA